GAAUAUUGAAAUUGAAAAAAAAAAAAAAAACCAACCAAACACUCCAAAAGUUCUCUUUCACACGCAGUCAAACUCCGGAAGUUUUCCCGAGAAAACGAAAUAUGGACUCAACGCCCGUGAACUGGGAAGCUUUGGACUCUCUUGUCAUUGAUUUCGCCAAAUCAGAGAAUUUAAUCGAGGAGUUCUUUUCUUCCCCAUCGCCAUUGUCUUCUCCUUCUCCUUCCUCUUCCGUCUCCUCUUCAUCUUACCAAUCCAGAUUGAUCAUUCGCCAGAUAAGACGGUGCUUGGAGGCUGGUGACAUUGACUCCGCCAUCGAUCUUCUCCGCACUCACGCUCCUUUCGUCCUCGAUGACCA
RNAcentral lists this unclassified non-coding RNA (355 nucleotides) under Hevea brasiliensis (rubber tree). The record is from RNAcentral. Lineage: Eukaryota; Viridiplantae; Streptophyta; Magnoliopsida; Malpighiales; Euphorbiaceae.